RNAcentral lists this ribosomal RNA (460 nucleotides) under uncultured bacterium. RNAcentral's name for it is "partial 16S ribosomal RNA". It matches the Rfam family "Bacterial small subunit ribosomal RNA", at positions 338 to 795 of the family's 1533-position model. The record is from RNAcentral.
CCUACGGGAGGCAGCAGUGAGGAAUAUUGGUCAAUGGACGCGAGUCUGAACCAGCCAAGUAGCGUGAAGGAUGACUGCCCUAUGGGUUGUAAACUUCUUUUAUAUAGGAAUAAAAUGUUCCACGUGUGGGUUUUUGUAUGUACCAUAUGAAUAAGGAUCGGCUAACUCCGUGCCAGCAGCCGCGGUAAUACGGAGGAUCCGAGCGUUAUCCGGAUUUAUUGGGUUUAAAGGGAGCGUAGGUGGAUUGUUAAGUCAGUUGUGAAAGUUUGCGGCUCAACCGUAAAAUUGCAGUUGAAACUGGCAGUCUUGAGUACAGUAGAGGUAGGCGGAAUUCGUGGUGUAGCGGUGAAAUGCUUAGAUAUCACGAAGAACUCCGAUUGCGAAGGCAGCUUACUAAACUGCCACUGACAUUGAUGCUCGAAAGUGUGGGUAUCAAACAGGAUUAGAUACCCGAGUAGUC